GAAAUUCUCAUCCAUCCUCUCCAGCGACUCCUAAAAAUAAAACCAAAAAUUCUCCCCAAAACACUUUCACUGACUUCUCACCCUCCAAUUACCGAAUUGCACUCCCAAUUAGCGCCUGCGCGGAAACCCCCCUAAAUUCCCACCGAUGAAAAUCUCCGAUCAAUUUCCCCGUUCCCAUUGGUCAAUCCGUAGGUCAAUGAAAAACAGGAUAAACCCACUAACCCACAAAAGACCCACAAGAAAAUUCCGUGAGAGCCGAUAAAAAAUCCCCAAACAGCCCCCCUCAAAAAAUAAACCCAAAAAAGCUCCGGACAUCGAAAAAAUUCCGUAAAAUCCAUGUGUUUUUAACCCACAAAUAACCCAAGAAGACUUUUGAUUGCGCGCGCGUCUGCCUUUUCCAUUUUCCCCUCAUUCCCCGUUGCUCACCCGCUGUGAACAAGUGUUGAAGUAAAAAGUCAGUUGAAGUGAUUUGAAGUUGCAAUAACAAGUAAAUAAAUCACCAACCGAGGUAAAUCCCCCCUAUUUAAUCAAAAUAAUAAUAGUAAAUUGACCAAAUUGACCCAUUGGUGGAUUAAAUCCCGGAAAAUAGCCCGAUGUCCGUGAUAAUGCGCAGUAAAUACUGGCAUGUUUGUUUCACAUGGACGAUCGAUACGCCAUCCCAGAAUGGCGUGCAAUGUAAAUCGGCCUGACGAAGUGAUGACCAGUGAUGAGAAUGCCGCAAAUACGGGUGUGAAGGUGUAUGUCAUAUCUGUCAAGCAAUACGGUAAAGCUGAGUGGAUUAUUUCAUCGUCAAGGUGGUGGAGUGCAGAAUAUGGAAAGCCCUAAAAAACACCGAGAGUAAUCAAUCCCCCAGAAUCAACACCAGAGAUCUCACAAAUAAAUUAUUGAUAAAUUGGAGGAUGAGAGGCUGGAAGACAAAGAGUGGGAGAGAAGAUCAUAAUGACACUCUGGUGCUGUGAAUUGAAUUUAUUCGGGAUAUCUGGGAUCAUUGAUAUCAUUGGGAUAAUUGGAAUCUUUGGAAUCUUCGCUAUCUGUUUGGAUCUUUUUUGAUGUUUUUCGAUGUUUGUGAAGGUUUUUCAUUUUUUUUUUUAUGGUGACUACUGUGAUGUGACUGUGUUGAAUAACUCGUGUCUGUGAAGGGUUGAUGUCGAGGGAUAGUGGAUUGAGGAAGAGAGAGGACUGAGGAUUGAGGGGAAAGGAGGAACGAAUGGAUGGAGACGGGCAUGUGUCGUUUAGCUGCUGUGGUCGCCACUUGGAAUCGGUAGAGGUGCCCAGGCCACCGACCCAUACCCGUGACCGCGAGACAAGCCUCUACGAGACAGUGUGAGACCCAUGUCCGUGUGAAAUAUAUUUUAUAUGUAUUGUGCUAGUUCAAAAGCCUGGGUAUAACCCGUAGGGACAAGGUUAUACAGACCGCCACCAUAACUGUCUAGUUUCGUCAACUCUUUUUUUUUUUCUCCUCUCACUUCAUCAUUUAAUUUUUUUUAAACAUUUCAUUUAUUAUAUUCCACUAAUUCCACUAAUUUCAUCAAUUUCUCCCAUUUCUAUCGUCCUCACUAUCUCAAUUUCUGCCAUCAUUUUAAUUUUGUCAAUAAUUCAGUGUUGGGUGAACGUCGAGUGUCGAAAAUAGCAAGUGUAACGAAUGAUUUUCUUCCCAGUGUUUCCGUCAUAAUAAGGACACCCUAUAGUAUAUGUUACCGAUGUCUUCCUAGGGAUGGAAAUCAGUGAUUACAAUUUAGAUAAUGAUAAUAGAAUUUAUGAUACGAGUGAUAAACAGAAGAGGUCAUAGACAACUGAGAUGGACCGAGUUAAUCUCGGUGUUGGUGAUUCACAUGUGAGUGAUGAUGAGGAUGAUGGUACACGCCAUAAAGAUGGAUUUACCGUAUGCUCUUUGUUCGUUCACAGUAGUGCAAUACGAUGAUUAUUUUCAAUGGUAGAAACUGAGGUGAAGAGGGAGGGAAGAGAGAGAGAAAGAGAGAGAGAGAAGAGUAAUGAAUAAAAGUAUGAGAGUGAUUGAUAAUUUUCACGGACUCGUUGUCAUCAUUUGACCCUAAAUGCUCAUGUGUUUAUGGAUUCAGACUGAUGAUGUUUAUGUUAUUUUGUUAUCAUUUGGAAAAGGAUUGAGAGUGAUAUCAGAUUGUAAAAAUGGAGACACUAUUACCGGCUAGUACUGGCAGCCCUUCUUACAGUCCACAAUUGAAGACAGUCUUGAAGACAUAUCAAUUAUCAGCAGUUAAGAGCCUGCAAGGACCGAGCUCAGCCCUUUUGGGUAUGGACUGUAGAGGAAUAUUGCAGGAACAAACGUCCUUUCACUUCCCAACCCUCAAUCGUACAUCAAAUUGCAUUGAUUCGGAUACAGAUGAUAUUAAUGGAAAAGAUUACAAGAAGAGCGAUGACACUGUGGCUGCAUCAGUGGCUGUACCACCAACACUAGCACCAUCAGUUUUAUCAAGAAGAGAUCACAUUGUUGACAGAUCGCAGGAUGAUUCAGACGAUGAUCCACAGCCCGAGAGGUUGAAAAUAAUCGGUGAAAAGCGGGAAUUGGAAUUUCAAAUACCAAUUCUCACAGCACCAGAUCAGAGCUGCUCUGAGAGGUGUGAAACAACACUGGAGAACGAGAGAAUCUCGUGUUUUGUUGUUGGUGGUGAGCGCAGACUCUGUUUACCCCAAAUACUCAAUACUGUACUCCAGGAUUUUUCAUUGCAGCAGAUUAAUCAGGUUUGCGAUGAAUUACAAAUAUACUGUUCACGAUGCACCCAUGACCAAUUGGAGGAGUUAAAAUUGUCUGGUAUUCUGCCAAGAAAUGCACCGUCUUGUGGAUUAAUCACACAAACUGAUGCUGAGAGACUCGUUAGCGCACUUUUACUGCGUAUUGAGCCACGUGAAUUACCGCAGAUGAUUGAGGAUAAUGAGGGAAAGGAGCAUUGUGAUAAGGAUACUAAUGAUACUGUCGCUAAAUUCAAAGUUUAUCACGAGUGUUUUGGAAAAUGCAAGGGAAUAUUCAAUGCUGAGAGAUUUGAUGCUGAGGAUUCGGCGUGCAUUGAGUGUUUGGAAUGUGGAUGUCAGUUUUCACCUCAGCGUUUUGUACGUCAUGCACACAGACCACUUGAGAAUCGUACCUGUCACUGGGGCUUUGAUUCAACCAAUUGGCGGUGUUAUUUGUUGUUGUCACGCGAUCAGCCUCAUUACAACAAGCUCGUUACAUUCUUUCGGAACUUGAAGGAUAAAUAUCCUCUGCCCAAUCUCAAGAGGAAGCUCACUGAGUUUCGAAAUGAGUCUGACAAAUUACCGAAACGACUGAAAAAGGAAAUGGGACGUAAUGAAUUUGCUGGUGUUUAUGCUGGUGGCAAUGGCUUGGGGAUGUACUCGAUAUCACCGGCCACAGGUGGAGGUGAUCCUUAUCUGCAAAUGCAGUGGGCAGUUUUUGAAUUGGCGGCACGUGGUGCCUCUGCCUUCAGGCCCUGGAACACAGCUAAUACUUGCAAACAUCGAGACAGUUCACCACUGGUGCCCGCUUAUCUGAGCCGAGGUCCACCGGUGCUGCAGCAUCCAGAGCGUGUGGUACCGCUCUCAGAAUGCGAGCGUUUUGAGCCCCAUUAUCAGCCAAAUGUUGCCCUGGCCCCGAUAACACAACCACCAAUACAACCAACACCAACAACGCAGUCCGAGGAUCUGCCAGGAGGUCACAGACACCUCUACCGAGAUCCCCACAAUCACAAUCAUUCCCCAAGUUCUCGUGAAAAACUGGAGCCCCUGGUAUCAGUUAAAAUGGAGAAACCAUCAUCACCGGGUCCAGAGUCAUGUGAAUAUUCACGUAAUUUUUCAACGCCAUCUAAAAAUCCGGAGGAGUGCAGAAACGAGAGGCCAAAAAUGAAGAGAAAAAUUCUUCACAGAAAGAAUUGCGAGGACGAGGACAGCAGUGCUGCUGUGACAUCCUCGACGAUAACAAUGGAGUUAUCAGCUGGUGUGAGUACAUCGUCGUCACGGAGUGACACUGAAGAGGAUUUAGCAGCGAUAGUUGAGCUCGAGGAGCGUCUUGUGGCUAUUGAUGCACCACAUGACGUUAUUGCUCUGGUGAGACAAGUGGCAUCAGAACUUAAUAAUUUAAGAGUUGGACGUCAACAGGACGCACAGGAAAUAGUUAAGUUACGUGAUGAGCUGGAAAAAAUAACAAUUCAACAGGCUAAUGUUAAUCCUCGUGAUUCUGUUGAUAGUGGUGAUAACAGUGAUAAUCAGGUAAAGGAUAAUUAUCCAAGUGCUGCUGACAGCACUGAAGACAAUGACACUGUUGAAGAGGCAGCACAAAUUAUUGACAACAAUGAAGAGCUCGACAGAGCUGUUACUCCAUCAACUGCAAUUAGUAAUGAUUAGAAAUUAUUACCAAUUAGAUUAAGAUUAUUCAUAGUAAGCAGGACAACAAUAAUAGCGAAUGAAUAAAAUAAUAUUAUAAUAAAGAACUGCUCAGCAAUUGUGGACACUUAUUAUCACCUAGUGAUAAUGGUGUGCGCAAAAUUUUUAGCACUAAAUUAUCAAUGUUACAAAUUCUAAAGUUAAUGAUGACGAUGAAAGAAAAAUGUCUUGGUUAUGUGAUAUAUGAAAAGCCUUUAACGUUAUAGAAUGGUUAAUUUUUUUGUUCGUUUUUUCAGAUAAUAUUGUAAAGUGAACUUUUAUCGACAGUUUUUACUUACGAAAACGAGAUUAAAUGAAUCAUGUAGAUAAUGUGUGAUGCGAUGAAUGAGAAGUAGAUUUUGAAUAUUCGAAUAAACUGAGCCAAUAUAUAUUAGAACAAGAUAUUAUGUUUGAAAUAUAUUAAUGAAGUGCAUAAGACAUUUUUCGUAGGUGGAGUUUUAUCAUUGAUUGCGAUGAAAGAUCAAUUGUUCAUUCAGUCUUCUCAUUACCGUAGUUGUGCAGAUUUCAAAUGAAAAAGAUUAAAAAAAAAAAGAAGAUAGAAAAGAACUGGUAGACGGGACUGACAAAUCGUUGAAUUGCUUUUCAUCAACAACUUACUGUCGUAUUGGUAUUAUGUAAAUAGUUUCUCUUGUCAUAAAGUUACGUUUAUUAUUAUAUUAUGAAAAUUAUUGAAAAAAGUACAAAACCCUAGGUGCUAUGUUAUUACACUGGGUGAUUAUAAUCAACUCGUGUUAAUAGACUUGAUACUUUCAAUUGUAAAAACUGGAUGCAUUGAGUGCGUUUUUUUUUUUGUUGUUGUAACAAUAUUCAAAAUUUUCAUGAUUAUUUGCAUAAUUUUGCAUGACUGAAUGGGCAAUCUCUUCGAAAGUCGACUGAAUUCAUAGACAUAAUUAUUGUACUGCCAGAAAAAUUGACAUAAAUUUAUGAGAAUUUAUUUCAAUCAUCAAUUACCGGAAUUAUUGUAAAUGUUGUUAUCGAUUGUUUUCUUUUAGUGCUGUUGUGAGGGAAAAAUGUUGGGUGAUUUUAUUGAGACGUAAUCAAUGCUUCCGUUUUUACGGACGUCAACGCAAUUGAAUUAGGGACGUCCACAGAAUAAAUUUGAUACUAACGACGGAGUAAAAAUUCUCUUUAUCAAGUCAACUCGUACUACUCUCUAUGUAUAGGAGGAUAAACUACAUAAUUAGUCAUAAAAAAAAAAAAUUAAUAACUACAGACGUCGAUGAAACUUAUGUAUCGCGCAUGGACUGCAUGAAUGGAUGAAAAAAUUUAAAAAAAAACACCGUAAUUUAUUUAUACUGCUGGGUUGUGUAUUUCAAGUCCAAAUAAUAAAUUAUUAUUCUGGAGCGGGUACUUCGAGACAAAAUUAAGGCAUAAUUAGAACUUUCUUAUUGCUCACUUAAGAAAGUAAGAAAUUGUAUAAAAUUUUAGCACUUAAAAUUUGGGGAUUAAUAACUCGUGGAAUUGGACUCUAAAUUGAUUCCAUUAGUCUUGGUUUUAUGAAAGUUUUUUUUUUAUUUUCAAUACUUUGAAGGGCGUGAAGGUUUUUAUUGUCAGAAGAAUUAUGAACAACAGCUGACGGUUGAAAAAUGAAAAAUUAAAAACUGCUGUAAUAUUUUACACAACUGAUUUUAAAUACAACGCUGGACAAUCCACGUCGAUUCAGCCACUUCUUCGGUUCGACUCGCUCUCUUUUUUAUAUAUAUAUAUAAAUAAUUAAUGAUUGUAUGAUCAAACGCUCGCUGGAAGAUAGCGAUAAAGAUUUUUAUCAUUCUCUCUGGCAAAAGUCCACGAGAAAAAGAAGUGGCUCAAUCGAUCUGGAAUUUUCAUAAUCUCAAUCCCACCCGAAGUCAAGAAUGUUAUUAUGUUCUUUCGUACAGUUAUCGAUGCGCAUAUUUUAAAUAAAAAUCAACCAUAUAAACAAUAUCGACGAACCGUUGUAUCUGAGGUCCAACCAUGACUCACUGUUCAUCUAGGGUCGAUUAAACAAAUGAUAAAACAUUGAAUAUUCGUCGAGAACUCGUAUCACAUAAAAAAAAUCUAGUACCUGCAAUUGGCUGAAGCCUGAAAAUUUUGUGAUUAGAGAGUUUCAUCAUGCAGAUUAUGACGAUGCAUGUGUCUUAAGCUCAGUGUAAAUAUUAACAUUAAUUAAAAAAUAAGUUUGAUCACGUCCAAAAUAACAAUGUUGACAACAAUCGGACGAUAAAUCUGUCAUUUGUCUAGAGUUUCAUACACGAAAGAAUUGCAUCUUUGAAUUAUUUCGUACAUGAUCAUGUGCUUUAUCUCUCGAAUGUAUUAAAUUCAAUGGAAUAUAUCUUCCUCUCAAAAAUCGGAUUUUGAUUUUUCUAUUGAGAUUUUCUCUGUGGCACAAUCUUUUUCCGUACGAGAUCAAUUUUUGGGGGAAGCUAGGUUUUAUUGAAUUUUUUAUUUGCAGUAAUUUCGGAAGUCACAAGUAAUUGAACUUCGGAGUAAUCGAACAGAACCGGAUUAUUUACAAUGUAAAGUACAAAAUUGAUCUCCAUGUUGGAUUUAAAUAUGCACGAUUAUUCUUUUUCAUCCUCGCUCAUUCUCAUCACUAGGAAAAAAAAAACAACUGAUGAUGACACAUAAAAAUUGACUGGUACAAUUCAUCAAAAAACCAUUAGUGGUCUGACUAUUUAUAAAAGAACAAAUCAUCCGAAUCAAUUCGUUAAAUAAACCUCAUAAUUUUAGGGAAAAAUUGGUUAAAAAAUCAUCACAAGAUCUGAUAAAUCCCAAAAUUAUCUGUAUUAAUAAUUUUACUUUAUGUACUCGUGUCACUAAAUUAAAAUAAAAAUCGUCGAUCGAAUGACGAAUGGAAUCAGAAGAAUUGAUAUCAGACAAAGAAAAUCAUUCGCUCAAUAAAAAUUCAACGUAAAAAUGUAAAGAAUUCCGUGACUAUAAUGAAAUUUGUCUUAUGCAUUACGUUGUAAUUAACAACGAGUUUGUUGAAUUGGUCUCUGACUCUGCAAAGCAUUGAGCCUGAAUUGUGGUAAUUGAUGAUGGCAUCAGUAAACUUAACCCGUUAAUGAUUGAAACGAGAGAAAGAAUGUGAAGAAUUCAUUGAACCGAACGAUAUGCCAUUAACUCGUUUCAAAGCUGUAGUAUUCUCGAAAUGCAAUAGCCGUCAAUUAUGUGUACCAUAUUUUAAUUAGGAGAGAAAACGUAUUUGUUGUUAGCUGUUUUUUUCCUCAUAGAAAAAUUCUUUAGGAGUUUCCAUUCACUUCCAUUGUUUUCUUUCUUCAGACGAUAAUUGUUAAUAAAA
RNA transcript from Fopius arisanus, 7690 nucleotides. It is a transcript of the gene named Sno oncogene, with no coding region annotated. NCBI's taxonomy places the organism in Eukaryota, Metazoa, Arthropoda, Insecta, Hymenoptera, Braconidae. The record is from RefSeq and is a predicted model, not a curated record. The transcript is spliced from 4 exons.